UGCGUAGGCGGCGCGGUAAGUCGGGUGUGAAAUCUCGGGGCUUAACUCCGAAACUGCAUUCGAUACUGCCGUGCUUGAGGACUGGAGAGGAGACUGGAAUUUACGGUGUAGCGGUGAAAUGCGUAGAUAUCGUAAGGAAGACCAGUGGCGAAGGCGGGUCUCUGGACAGUUCCUGACGCUGAGGCACGAAGGCAGGGGAGCGAAACG
RNAcentral lists this ribosomal RNA (207 nucleotides) under uncultured bacterium. Its description in RNAcentral is "partial 16S ribosomal RNA". It matches the Rfam family "Bacterial small subunit ribosomal RNA", at positions 568 to 775 of the family's 1533-position model. The record is from RNAcentral.